GCGCCCUAAAAAAACGCGGUACAUAUACUAAAAUUGGAACGAUACAGAGUAGAUUAGCAUGGCCCCUGCGCAAGGAAAUCUAGUAUUUACAAAAGUCUAUUUGCUU
This 106-nucleotide small nuclear RNA is filed under the name Rhodnius prolixus. Lineage: Eukaryota; Metazoa; Arthropoda; Insecta; Hemiptera; Reduviidae. The record is from RNAcentral.